AACGAACGCUGGCGGCAUGCCUAACACAUGCAAGUCGAACGAGACCUUCGGGUCUAGUGGCGCACGGGUGGGUAACGCCUGGGAACCUGCCCUUAGGUUCGGAGUAACUGCCCGAAAGGGGUGCUAAUACCGGUUAAUCUCUUCCGACCAAAGAUGUAUCGCCUUUGGAUGGGCCCGCGUUGGAUUAGGUAGUUGGUAGGGUACAAGCAUACCAAGGCGAUGAUCCAUAGCUGGUCUGAGAGGAUGAUUAGGCACACUGGGACUGCGACCCGGCCCAGACUCCUACGCGAGGGAGCAGUGGGGAGUAUUAGACGCUGGGCGCAAACGUAAUACAGCCAUGCCGCGUGAGUGGUGCAGGCGUUAGUGUUGUAAAUCUGUUUUACCCGGGAUGAUAAUGACGGUACCGGGAGAAUAAGCACCGGCUAACUCCGUG
Molecule: ribosomal RNA, 433 nt
Filed under: uncultured bacterium
Lineage: Bacteria
Description: partial 16S ribosomal RNA
Rfam family: Bacterial small subunit ribosomal RNA
Source: RNAcentral